Molecule: long non-coding RNA, 254 nt
Organism: Musa acuminata AAA Group (dessert banana)
Lineage: Eukaryota; Viridiplantae; Streptophyta; Magnoliopsida; Zingiberales; Musaceae
Exons: 2
Source: RefSeq, a predicted model, not a curated record
AGGAGACAAGCAUAGAAGGAUAAAGUCAUACCUAUUCCCAUGGCAGUAUAUGACACAAGGAAGAGCAGUACUUUCUGGUACAAAAGAGGGAACAUAGUGACUGCACUGCAAGGUGUGACCACGUCCAUUUGUAAGCUGCCAGUCUAGGCGUUUGUAUUUUCUGCCUGCAAGAGUGAAUUCUGAUUCCCAUAGGUAUUGAUCUGGAUUAUACUCCGCCCUAUUUAGCAUUGUACCAGAAAAUGCAAAAAAAUAAA